This 385-nucleotide ribosomal RNA is filed under the name uncultured bacterium. RNAcentral describes it as "bacterial SSU rRNA". It matches the Rfam family "Bacterial small subunit ribosomal RNA", at positions 30 to 416 of the family's 1533-position model. The record is from RNAcentral.
AUUGAACGCUGGCGGCAUGCCUUACACAUGCAAGUCGAACGGCAGCACGGGAGCAAUCCUGGUGGCGAGUGGCGAACGGGUGAGUAAUAUAUCGGAACGUGCCCAGUCGUGGGGAUAACGUAGCGAAAGCUACGCUAAUACCGCAUACGAUCUAUGGAUGAAAGCGGGGGAUCGCAAGACCUCGCGCGAUUGGAGCGGCCGAUAUCAGAUUAGGUAGUUGGUGAGGUAAAGGCUCACCAAGCCGACGAUCUGUAGCUGGUCUGAGAGGACGACCAGCCACACUGGGACUGAGACACGGACCAGACUCCUACGGGAGGCAGCAGUGGGGAAUUUUGGACAAUGGGCGCAAGCCUGAUCCAGCAAUGCCGCGUGCAGGAUGAAGGCC